AGUGAGGAAUAUUGCACAAUGGGGGGAACCUUGAUGCAGCAACGCCGCGUGGAGGAUGACGCAUUUCGGUGUGUAAACUCCUUUUAUAUGUCAAGAAAAUGACGGUAGCAUAUGAAUAAGCACCGGCUAACUCCGUGCCAGCAGCCGCGGUAAUACGGAGGGUGCAAGCGUUACUCGGAAUCACUGGGCGUAAAGGACGCGUAGGCGGGUUGGUAAGUCAGAUGUGAAAUCCUACAGCUUAACUGUAGAACUGCAUUUGAAACUACUAACCUAGAGUAUGGGAGGGGGAGAUGGAAUUAGUGGUGUAGGGGUAAAAUCCGUAGAUAUCACUAGGAAUACCGAAAGCGAAGGCGAUCUCCUGGAACAUUACUGACGCUAAGGCGUGAAAGCGUGGGGAGCAAACGGGAUUAGAUACCCCGGUAGUCCACGCCCUAAACGAUGUUCACUAGUCGUCGGGAUGCUAGUCAUCUCGGUGAUGCACUUAACAGAUUAAGUGAACCGCCUGGGGAGUACGGUCGCAAGAUUAAAACUCAAAGGAAUAGACGGGGACCCGCACAAGUGGUGGAGCAUGUGGUUUAAUUCGAAGAUACGCGAAGAACCUUACCUAGCCUUGACAUUGAUAGAAUACACCAGAGAUGGAGUAGUGCCUUUCGGGGAACUUGAAAACAGGUGCUGCACGGCUGUCGUCAGCUCGUGUCGUGAGAUGUUGGGUUAAGUCCCGCAACGAGCGCAACCCUCGUCCUUAGUUGCCAGCAGGUUAAGCUGGGCACUCUAAGGAGACUGCCUUCGUAAGGAGGAGGAAGGUGAGGACGACGUCAAGUCAUCAUGGCCCUUAUGGCUAGGGCUACACACGUGCUACAAUGGGGCGUACAGAGUGUUGCGAUACCGCGAGGUGGAGCUAAUCACUUAAAGCGUCUCUCAGUUCGGAUAGCAGUCUGCAACUCGACUGCUUGAAGCUGGAAUCACUAGUAAUCGUAGAUCAGCAAUGCUACGGUGAAUACGU
RNAcentral lists this ribosomal RNA (1003 nucleotides) under uncultured bacterium. Its description in RNAcentral is "bacterial SSU rRNA". It matches the Rfam family "Bacterial small subunit ribosomal RNA", at positions 353 to 1371 of the family's 1533-position model. The record is from RNAcentral.